CCAAUAGCGUAUAUUAAAGUUGUUGCAGUUAAAAAGCUCGUAGUUGAAUUUCGGGAUUGACGUGACGGUCGUGCCUUAAGGGGUAUGAACUGUCGCCGUUGAUUUCUCACCUUCUGGAGAAGCUCGAUGUCCUUAAUUGGAUGUCUUGUGGAACCAGGACCUUUACCUUGAAAAAAUUAGAGUGUUUAAAGCAGGCAUUU
This 200-nucleotide ribosomal RNA is filed under the name uncultured Entrophospora. RNAcentral describes it as "uncultured Claroideoglomus partial small subunit ribosomal RNA". It matches the Rfam family "Eukaryotic small subunit ribosomal RNA", at positions 591 to 789 of the family's 1831-position model. Lineage: Eukaryota; Fungi; Glomeromycota; Glomeromycetes; Entrophosporales; Entrophosporaceae. The record is from RNAcentral.